GGUUAAGCGACUAAGCGUACACGGUGGAUGCCCUGGCAGUCAGAGGCGAUGAAGGACGUGCUAAUCUGCGAUAAGCGUCGGUAAGGUGAUAUGAACCGUUAUAACCGGCGAUUUCCGAAUGGGGAAACCCAGUGUGAUUCGUCACACUAUCAUUAACUGAAUCCAUAGGUUAAUGAGGCGAACCGGGGGAACUGAAACAUCUAAGUACCCCGAGGAAAAGAAAUCAACCGAGAUUCCCCCAGUAGCGGCGAGCGAACGGGGAGCAGCCCAGAGCCUGAAUCAGUGUGUGUGUUAGUGGAAGCGUCUGGAAAGGCGCGCGAUACAGGGUGACAGCCCCGUACACAAAAAUGCACAUACUGUGAGCUCGAUGAGUAGGGCGGGACACGUGGUAUCCUGUCUGAAUAUGGGGGGACCAUCCUCCAAGGCUAAAUACUCCUGACUGACCGAUAGUGAACCAGUACCGUGAGGGAAAGGCGAAAAGAACCCCGGCGAGGGGAGUGAAAAAGAACCUGAAACCGUGUACGUACAAGCAGUGGGAGCACAGAGCAAUCUGUGUGACUGCGUACCUUUUGUAUAAUGGGUCAGCGACUUAUAUUCUGUAGCAAGGUUAACCGAAUAGGGGAGCCGAAGGGAAACCGAGUCUUAACUGGGCGUUAAGUUGCAGGGUAUAGACCCGAAACCCGGUGAUCUAGCCAUGGGCAGGUUGAAGGUUGGGUAACACUAACUGGAGGACCGAACCGACUAAUGUUGAAAAAUUAGCGGAUGACUUGUGGCUGGGGGUGAAAGGCCAAUCAAACCGGGAGAUAGCUGGUUCUCCCCGAAAGCUAUUUAGGUAGCGCCUCGUGAAUUCAUCUCCGGGGGUAGAGCACUGUUUCGGCAAGGGGGUCAUCCCGACUUACCAACCCGAUGCAAACUGCGAAUACCGGAGAAUGUUAUCACGGGAGACACACGGCGGGUGCUAACGUCCGUCGUGAAGAGGGAAACAACCCAGACCGCCAGCUAAGGUCCCAAAGUCAUGGUUAAGUGGGAAACGAUGUGGGAAGGCCCAGACAGCCAGGAUGUUGGCUUAGAAGCAGCCAUCAUUUAAAGAAAGCGUAAUAGCUCACUGGUCGAGUCGGCCUGCGCGGAAGAUGUAACGGGGCUAAACCAUGCACCGAAGCUGCGGCAGCGACGCUGAUGCGUUGUUGGGUAGGGGAGCGUUCUGUAAGCCUGUGAAGGUGUGCUGUGAGGCAUGCUGGAGGUAUCAGAAGUGCGAAUGCUGACAUAAGUAACGAUAAAGCGGGUGAAAAGCCCGCUCGCCGGAAGACCAAGGGUUCCUGUCCAACGUUAAUCGGGGCAGGGUGAGUCGACCCCUAAGGCGAGGCCGAAAGGCGUAGUCGAUGGGAAACAGGUUAAUAUUCCUGUACUUGGUGUUACUGCGAAGGGGGGACGGAGAAGGCUAUGUUGGCCGGGCGACGGUUGUCCCGGUUUAAGCGUGUAGGCUGGUUUUCCAGGCAAAUCCGGAAAAUCAAGGCUGAGGCGUGAUGACGAGGCACUACGGUGCUGAAGCAACAAAUGCCCUGCUUCCAGGAAAAGCCUCUAAGCAUCAGGUAACAUCAAAUCGUACCCCAAACCGACACAGGUGGUCAGGUAGAGAAUACCAAGGCGCUUGAGAGAACUCGGGUGAAGGAACUAGGCAAAAUGGUGCCGUAACUUCGGGAGAAGGCACGCUGAUAUGUAGGUGAAGUCCCUCGCGGAUGGAGCUGAAAUCAGUCGAAGAUACCAGCUGGCUGCAACUGUUUAUUAAAAACACAGCACUGUGCAAACACGAAAGUGGACGUAUACGGUGUGACGCCUGCCCGGUGCCGGAAGGUUAAUUGAUGGGGUCAGCGCAAGCGAAGCUCUUGAUCGAAGCCCCGGUAAACGGCGGCCGUAACUAUAACGGUCCUAAGGUAGCGAAAUUCCUUGUCGGGUAAGUUCCGACCUGCACGAAUGGCGUAAUGAUGGCCAGGCUGUCUCCACCCGAGACUCAGUGAAAUUGAACUCGCUGUGAAGAUGCAGUGUACCCGCGGCAAGACGGAAAGACCCCGUGAACCUUUACUAUAGCUUGACACUGAACAUUGAGCCUUGAUGUGUAGGAUAGGUGGGAGGCUUUGAAGUGUGG
This 2143-nucleotide ribosomal RNA is filed under the name Escherichia coli. Its description in RNAcentral is "partial 23S ribosomal RNA". It matches the Rfam family "Bacterial large subunit ribosomal RNA", at positions 1 to 2167 of the family's 2925-position model. The record is from RNAcentral. Lineage: Bacteria; Pseudomonadati; Pseudomonadota; Gammaproteobacteria; Enterobacterales; Enterobacteriaceae.